CAAAUUAAGUAUUUUUUCCAUGUUGAAGUUUAUUGAAAUGAAUGGUUAAAAGUUUCUACCUGAAAGUUAUUUUAGUGUAAACUACUCCGUGCCUGUCUGGUUAUCUAUUCCCAAUAUUCAUGUGAACAAAUCUCUGUGUGGGAUCAAUGAUCAUAAGAAUUUUUUUUCUUUCAUGCUUCUGUGCAUCUGUCGAAAGUUUCAAUAAAUUUUUUGCUAUUAGAGCUCAUGACUUAAAAGCUUUUAAAUUCUAUUGGAAUGAAAAAUGCCAUUGACAACCUUGAGCAGUCUAAUGUGUUAUGAUCACCAUACAGGCAUCCUUUUUUAUGCAUGUGUCCAAUUUGUUAAAAUUUUUGUCUUGCAGAAGUUCUAUUGUUAUCAUUGUUUAUUUGUUUGGCGAUGUGCUUAUGAUUGUUGAAACUAAAAUCACAAUGUUAACCAGGAUAAAUAAUCUAUUUGAUGUCGGGAGAAAGGCUUCUUCCUACCACAAGUCAAUUGGCAUUUCAUGCUUCACGGAUUCCAGUGUCUCCAGACAAACGUGAGAGUUGGACCAGACAGUGAAAGAUAUCUGAAUUACAGUUAGGAAAGAUAUGUCACUGAACUAGUGAAGAUUAUUUUUCCUAUUUUCACACAUCCCUAUAUAUUCUAGUGUCUUCCAUUACUCAAGUAAGAAGAAGAAUUCAGUUUACUUCUUCUAAACUUAUAAUAUCCAUUGAAGUUCUCAUAUAUGAAUUGUACUAUGCGGCAAUUAGGCAAUGUGGCAAAUCCUUCCGUUACCAAUAUUGUAAAGAAUUUUUAUGCAUCCGUGAAAUAAAAUCACAGUAACUUCCCAGAAAAUGCAGCCCUAUGAAAUGAGUGUUUCUUCCCAUUGUUGAAUCAGAUUAUGCAAAUACAAUGCUAAAUUGUAUAGAUUGAAACUCAUCGAUGGUUGUUAGUCAAUGUUGUUAUUUGUUAGGUUUUGUUCUUUAAUCAUGUUAGUAUCAUACAGUGUUAUUAUGCACAUUAUUAGAAUAUCUCUAGAGAACCAUAGUGGUCUAUCCAAACUCAUAUCAAACAUGUUGAUUUAUGAAAUAUACUGUGAUUUUUUUUCCUGUUUUCUUUGUAAGCAGUGUCCUGAUUUCAUUCUCUUGUAAGUUUUUUAUUUUUAAAUUAAUUUCUGAAUCCAUGUAUGAUUAGAUACUAAAAACCACUUGAGCAUAAGAGCUCCUUGUUGUAAUUCGACCCGUGGAAGGGUUUUUAAUGAUCUUCAUUGUUUUGCUAUUCAUUUACAUUUUUCUCUUAUAUGUUUCAAUAUUAUGACAGAUUUAUGAUAAUUAAUUAUCACGAAAGAAGAGGACAAGUGACUAGCAAUUUCAGCAAAUAGCCUUAUCUUAGGAAGCACUGCCUUCAGAUUUAAGAGAGAUACAUUGACUCCAGAACUGGUGGGGGGCUUCCAUUUGUUUGAUUGGUUCACAAGGACACUUGAGGUUUUUCUUGUUCUUCUUUCAAGAGAAAGAGGAUAAAAGAAUGGGCACAAUCAGUUGAUCCCAAAUUCUUCUCUCCCAUCCAAGCCGGUAGUGUUACCCUCUAAGGGAUGUACUAUUAUAUUCUCUCUUUGAAGUCUACUCAUUGACUUUUGAUAUUGUAAAGUUAAUGGUCAAAAACCAAAAUUGUAAAUAUGAUUAAUUGCAAAAAACUUCCUUUCAUACAAAAAUUAUACAAUUUAUCAGUGGCCUCUUGAUCUA
Molecule: long non-coding RNA, 1721 nt
Organism: Dioscorea cayenensis subsp. rotundata (Guinea yam)
Lineage: Eukaryota; Viridiplantae; Streptophyta; Magnoliopsida; Dioscoreales; Dioscoreaceae
Exons: 2
Source: RefSeq, a predicted model, not a curated record